CCUCGGUGUCCUGUGUUUUCUUUAACCCCGACGUCCCUCGCCGGGCUCGGCUCCGCUAGCCGGAUGCGGCACCUCCGACCUUCAUUGGAUGGAAUUUUCCCUUGAUUUUUUUGUUCCCCAAUAAAAGCUCACUCCCUGGCGUGUUUUCUCUCUUUCGCUAGCCUCUUGGGUAAACCUCGCCACUGCAUUAGGUGGCUGGAGGCGGGAGCUAGGAGAAGCCGUCUCUGGAGCUGGGCAUUAAAAGAGCAUGGACUGAUGGAGAACAAGCAACGAAGGUCAGAAGGUCAGGUUCAAGCUUGGGUGUCUCCUGAGUGGCCCUGAUGGAGUCAGAUCCCAGUGAGGGAGCAUGGGAAGAGCCUUCCAUCUUUCCUUGAACAAGCCCUUCUUAAUCACCUACUAUGAGCUAAUCAAUGUUCAAAGUAAGGAAGAUGCAGCAGUGAACAAAACAGCCAAGAUCUCUGUCCUCAAGAAGCUUAUGAGAAAACAAGUACAAAUUGUGGUGAAUGGACAGGAAGAAAAUUAUCAGGGAAUGGAAAACAAAACA
Molecule: long non-coding RNA, 544 nt
Organism: Marmota monax (woodchuck)
Lineage: Eukaryota; Metazoa; Chordata; Mammalia; Rodentia; Sciuridae
Exons: 3
Source: RefSeq, a predicted model, not a curated record